RNAcentral lists this long non-coding RNA (444 nucleotides) under Spirodela polyrhiza (greater duckweed). RNAcentral describes it as "long non-coding RNA (SPOL_LNC001624)". Lineage: Eukaryota; Viridiplantae; Streptophyta; Magnoliopsida; Alismatales; Araceae. The record is from RNAcentral.
GUAGAUUCUAAAGAUCUUAUCAUACCAUGUAAGAUUAUCACUUGAUCUUAUUUUUAUGAUACUUAUUAGAGAUGAUGACUGGUCCCAAAUACUUAUUAAAUGAUUUUUUGGCUCAGCUUGAUCAUCUUUGACUAUCUAGAGUAGUAUUUUUGGAGUUGUAGCUUCUAUCUCUUGUUUCCAGCAAGUAAUGAUAUGACCUCCUGCAGGAUUAGUGAUGAAUGGUAUCUCCCAACUUCCUUAUGCCCCUGUCUAGGUACUUUUUCUUUUUUUUUUCUAAGGUAAUGCCUUAAUUGGAUUUUGUUUCUUUUUUGCUUAUUUUUUAUGCUCGUGGAAUGAUCCGCAGAGCCAAAAAAUCCAUUGUUAUCCAACUUGAGGGAUUGGAAAGAUUACUAUCAGUGGAGAUGCCUCCCCUUCAAUUCACCUGUUGCAUUGUUACUCCACUCA